AUCUCAGUUAGGAUGUAUUGGAGGGUUGUCUUCUCUAUKGGUAGCCSUAGUAAUUCUAGARCUAAUACAUGCCGUCAUUCUGUGUGGAUUAGAUUUUGUCAGCCUAACUUUUAUGCUGAGUCCUAGUCCCUGUGCGUACGCUUAUUUCUAUAAGCGAGGCUCCUUCCACUUUCUGCCCUAUCAGCUGUCGACGGUCGUGUCGUGGACCCCCGUGGCCUUGACGGGUGACGGAGAAUCRGGGUUCGAUUCCGGAGAGGGAGCCUGAGAGACGGCUACCACAUCCARGGAAGGCAGCRGGGGGGCAAAUUACCCACUCCUGAGCCAGGGAGGUAGUGACAAGAACGAACAAGUUCGGACUAUUAC
This 363-nucleotide ribosomal RNA is filed under the name uncultured eukaryote. RNAcentral describes it as "bacterial SSU rRNA". It matches the Rfam family "Eukaryotic small subunit ribosomal RNA", at positions 103 to 499 of the family's 1831-position model. The record is from RNAcentral.